CCUACGGGUGACAGCAGUCGAGAAUCAUUCACAAUGGGGGAAACCCUGAUGGUGCGACGCCGCGUGGGGGAAUGAAGGUCUUCGGAUUGUAAACCCCUGUCAUGUGGGAGCAAAUUAAAAAGAUAGUACCACACGAGGAAGAGACGGCUAACUCUGUGCCAGCAGCCGCGGUAAUACAGAGGUCUCAAGCGUUGUUCGGAAUCACUGGGCGUAAAGCGUGCGUAGGCUGUUUCGUAAGUCGUGUGUGAAAGGCGCGGGCUCAACCCGCGGACGGCACAUGAUACUGCGAGACUAGAGUAAUGGAGGGGGAACCGGAAUUCUCGGUGUAGCAGUGAAAUGCGUAGAUAUCGAGAGGAACACUCGUGGCGAAGGCGGGUUCCUGGACAUUAACUGACGCUGAGGCACGAAGGCCAGGGGAGCGAAAGGGAUUAGAUACCCUUGUAGUC
RNAcentral lists this ribosomal RNA (446 nucleotides) under uncultured bacterium. RNAcentral's name for it is "partial 16S ribosomal RNA". It matches the Rfam family "Bacterial small subunit ribosomal RNA", at positions 338 to 795 of the family's 1533-position model. The record is from RNAcentral.